UACGAAGGGGGCUAGCGUUGUUCGGAUUUACUGGGCGUAAAGCGCACGUAGGCGGAUUGUUAAGUGAGGGGUGAAAUCCCAGGGCUCAACCCUGGAACUGCCUUUCAUACUGGCAAUCUCGAGUCCGGAAGAGGUGAGUGGAACUCCUAGUGUAGAGGUGGAAUUCGUAGAUAUUAGGAAGAACACCAGUGGCGAAGGCGGCUCACUGGUCCGAUACUGACGCUGAGGCGCGAAAGCGUGGGGAGCAAACAGG
RNAcentral lists this ribosomal RNA (253 nucleotides) under uncultured bacterium. Its description in RNAcentral is "partial 16S ribosomal RNA". It matches the Rfam family "Bacterial small subunit ribosomal RNA", at positions 524 to 776 of the family's 1533-position model. The record is from RNAcentral.